GAUGAACGCUGGCGGCGUGCCUAAUACAUGCAAGUCGAGCGAACGGACGAGAAGCUUGCUUUUCUGAUGUUAGCGGCGGACGGGUGAGUAACACGCGGAUAACCUACCUAUAAGACUGGGAUAACUUCGGGAAACCGGAGCUAAUACCGGAUAAUAUUUUGAACCGCAUGGUUCAAAAGUGAAAGACGGUCUUGCUGUCACUUAUAGAUGGAUCCGCGCUGCAUUAGCUAGUUGGUAAGGUAACGGCUUACCAAGGCAACGAUGCAUAGCCGACCUGAGAGGGUGAUCGGCCACACUGGAACUGAGACACGGUCCAGACUCCUACGGGAGGCAGCAGUAGGGAAUCUUCCGCAAUGGGCGAAAGCCUGACGGAGCAACGCCGCGUGAGUGAUGAAGGUCUUCGGAUCGUAAAACUCUGUUAUUAGGGAAGAACAUAUGUGUAAGUAACUGUGCACAUCUUGACGGUACCUAAUCAGAAAGCCACGGCUAACUACGUGCCAGCAGCCGCGGUAAUACGUAGGUGGCAAGCGUUAUCCGGAAUUAUUGGGCGUAAAGCGCGCGUAGGCGGUUUUUUAAGUCUGAUGUGAAAGCCCACGGCUCAACCGUGGAGGGUCAUUGGAAACUGGAAAACUUGAGUGCAGAAGAGGAAAGUGGAAUUCCAUGUGUAGCGGUGAAAUGCGCAGAGAUGUGGAGGAACACCAGUGGCGAAGGCGACUUUCUGGUCUGUAACUGACGCUGAUGUGCGAAAGCGUGGGGAUCAAACAGGAUUAGAUACCCUGGUAGUCCACGCCGUAAACGAUGAGUGCUAAGUGUUAGGGGGUUUCCGCCCCUUAGUGCUGCAGCUAACGCAUUAAGCACUCCGCCUGGGGAGUACGACCGCAAGGUUGAAACUCAAAGGAAUUGACGGGGGCCCGCACAAGCGGUGGAGCAUGUGGUUUAAUUCGAAGCAACGCGAAGAACCUUACCAAAUCUUGACAUCCUUUGACAACUCUAGAGAUAGAGCCUUCCCCUUCGGGGGACAAAGUGACAGGUGGUGCAUGGUUGUCGUCAGCUCGUGUCGUGAGAUGUUGGGUUAAGUCCCGCAACGAGCGCAACCCUUAAGCUUAGUUGCCAUCAUUAAGUUGGGCACUCUAAGUUGACUGCCGGUGACAAACCGGAGGAAGGUGGGGAUGACGUCAAAUCAUCAUGCCCCUUAUGAUUUGGGCUACACACGUGCUACAAUGGACAAUACAAAGGGCAGCGAAACCGCGAGGUCAAGCAAAUCCCAUAAAGUUGUUCUCAGUUCGGAUUGUAGUCUGCAACUCGACUACAUGAAGCUGGAAUCGCUAGUAAUCGUAGAUCAGCAUGCUACGGUGAAUACGUUCCCGGGUCU
Molecule: ribosomal RNA, 1372 nt
Filed under: uncultured bacterium
Lineage: Bacteria
Description: bacterial SSU rRNA
Rfam family: Bacterial small subunit ribosomal RNA
Source: RNAcentral